RNAcentral lists this ribosomal RNA (406 nucleotides) under uncultured bacterium. RNAcentral describes it as "partial 16S ribosomal RNA". It matches the Rfam family "Bacterial small subunit ribosomal RNA", at positions 30 to 526 of the family's 1533-position model. The record is from RNAcentral.
AUUGAACGCUGGCGGCAGGCCUAACACAUGCAAGUCGAGCGAGCGGCGGACGGGUGAGUAAUGUAGGGGGAUCUGCCCGAUAGAGGGGGAUAACUACUGGCAACGGUAGCUAAUACCGCAUACUAUCGAAUGAACCCAUAUGGGAUUAGCUAGUAGGUGGGGUAAAGGCGCACCUAGGCGACGAUCUCUAACUGGUCUGAGAGGAUGCUCCGCCACACUGGGACGGAGACACGGCCCAGACUCCUACGGGAGGCAGCAGUGGGUAUUAUUGCACAAUGGGCGCAAGCCUGAUGCAGCCAUGCCGCGUGUAUUAAGAAGGCCUUAGGGUUGUAAAGUAAUUUCAGCGGGGAGGCGUUACCUGCAUAAGAAGCACCGGCUAACUUCGUGCCAGCAGCCGCGGUAAUUC